GACGAACCGUGCGAACGUUGUUCGGAAUCACUGGGCUUAAAGGGUGCGUAGGCGGGCGAUCAAGUCAGGGGUGAAAUCCUCCAGCUUAACUGGAGAACUGCCUUUGAUACUGGUCAUCUUGAGUAAGGUAGGGGCGUGCGGAACUGAUGGUGGAGCGGUGAAAUGUGUUGAUAUCGGAAGGAACGCCGGUGGCGAAGCGAUCCGCUGGACCUCUUCUGACACUGAGGCGCGAAAGCCAGGGAGCAAACGGG
Molecule: ribosomal RNA, 251 nt
Filed under: uncultured bacterium
Lineage: Bacteria
Description: partial 16S ribosomal RNA
Rfam family: Bacterial small subunit ribosomal RNA
Source: RNAcentral